GCAGUAGCCGCGGGAAUACGUAGGGUGCGAGCGUUAAUCGGAAUUACUGGGUUUAAAGGGUGCGUAGGCGGCUUAUUAAGUCAGGGGUGAAAGGCGGUAGCUUAACUAUCGAAGUGCCCUUGAUACUGAUGAGCUUGAAUGCAGCUGAGGUAGGCGGAAUGUGACAAGUAGCGGUGAAAUGCAUAGAUAUGUCACAGAACACCGAUUGCGAAGGCAGCUUACUAAAGUGCGAUUGACGCUGAGGCACGAAAGCGUGGGGAUCAAACAGGAUUAGAUACCCGCGUAGUCCCUGUCUCUUAUAC
RNAcentral lists this ribosomal RNA (302 nucleotides) under uncultured bacterium. Its description in RNAcentral is "partial 16S ribosomal RNA". It matches the Rfam family "Bacterial small subunit ribosomal RNA", at positions 508 to 807 of the family's 1533-position model. The record is from RNAcentral.